RNAcentral lists this non-coding RNA (28 nucleotides) under Bombyx mori (domestic silkworm). Lineage: Eukaryota; Metazoa; Arthropoda; Insecta; Lepidoptera; Bombycidae. The record is from RNAcentral.
UACCAAACAGUUGGCGGUUAUAUGCGGA